GGAACUACACUCCGCUGCUUCCGAGAACCUCGGCCGUGACAUUCGGGGCCGGGCGGGACCCGCCCCACAGACUCCAACUUCCUCUCCAAACCCCGAAGUGAAACCCGCCACCGGGUUACCCCCACCAUGGGGCCGCUGCGAGAAGUUCACCCACCCCCGAAAAAAUAAUUAAACUCGCAGGCCAGGCACGGUGGCUCACGCCUAUAAUCCCAGCACUUUGGGAGGCCAAGACGGGCGGAUCUUUUGAGGUCAGGAGUUGGAGGCCAGCCUGGCCAAAAUGGCGAAACCCCAUAUCUACUAAAAUACAAAAAUUAGCCGGGCGUGGUGGCGGCCGCCUGUAAUCCUAGCUACUUGGGAGGCUGAGGCGCGAGAAUCUCUUGAACCCGGGAGAUGGAGGUUGCAGUGAGCAGAGAUCGUGCCACUGCACUCCAGCCUGGGCAACAGAGGGAGACUCCUCCGUCUCAAAAAAAUAAAUAAAUAAACUCGUGAGCUGGCCCCAACCCCUCCUAGGAAUCACAGCUUCCCGUACUGGUGCCGCCGCAGUGGCCAAGUUGCGACACUGCCCACGGCCCCUCCCUCUGAUACAGAUUCAGGGCUUCUCUUCGAUCAUGUUGGGUUUUGAUUCUGUUUUUCCUUGACUGCAAAACCCUCUUUCCGCUCCUCUUUUGGGACAAGAGCCCUGGUUUUCUACGCUGCCCUUGGCCACCACACUGCCUGCCCCACGAGCUGGGAGGCAGGUUUUGUACGGUGGGUCUCAAACUCCUGGCCUCCAGUGAUCCUCCCGCCUCAGCCUCCCUGAGUCGCGUGAGCCACCACACGUGGCCUCAUGGCGUCUUUGACCUGGACUCCUGUUUACCACCAUCCCCAUCACACCCAGAAUCCACACCCCCACUGCGACGUCCUUGUCUGUUCUGUACAGCCACCUCUCAAGGCCCAACAAGGCUGAACCUGGGGCAAGUGCAUAAAGAAAGCUCCACUCUGACCCAGUCUACUGCUGGGACCUUGGGACGGGAGCUGCCUGCCUUAGCCUCAGAGCCCCCUAGCCUUGCCAGGCACUGUCC
This 1061-nucleotide long non-coding RNA is filed under the name Pongo abelii (Sumatran orangutan). RNAcentral describes it as "lncRNA (ENSPPYG00000032375.1)". Lineage: Eukaryota; Metazoa; Chordata; Mammalia; Primates; Hominidae. The record is from RNAcentral.